This 365-nucleotide ribosomal RNA is filed under the name uncultured Pseudomonas sp. RNAcentral's name for it is "bacterial SSU rRNA". It matches the Rfam family "Bacterial small subunit ribosomal RNA", at positions 1017 to 1382 of the family's 1533-position model. Lineage: Bacteria; Pseudomonadati; Pseudomonadota; Gammaproteobacteria; Pseudomonadales; Pseudomonadaceae. The record is from RNAcentral.
CCUUCGGGAACGUCUGACACAGGUGCUGCAUGGCUGUCGUCAGCUCGUGUCAUGAGAUGUUGGGUUAAGUCCGUAACGAGCGCAACCCUUGUCCUUAGUUACCAGCACGUUAUGGUGGGCACUCUAAGGAGACUGCCGGUGCAAACCGGAGGAAGGUGGGGAUGACGUCAAGUCAUCAUGGCCCUUACGGCCUGGGCUACACACGUGCUACAAUGGUCGGUACAAAGGGUUGCCAAGCCGCGAGGUGGAGCUAAUCCCAUAAAACCGAUCGUAGUCCGGAUCGCAGUCUGCAACUCGACUGCGUGAAGUCGGAAUCGCUAGUAAUCGUGAAUCAGAAUGUCACGGUGAAUACGUUCCCGGGCCUU